Molecule: ribosomal RNA, 495 nt
Filed under: uncultured bacterium
Lineage: Bacteria
Description: partial 16S ribosomal RNA
Rfam family: Bacterial small subunit ribosomal RNA
Source: RNAcentral
GAUGAACGCUGGCGGCGUGCCUAAUACAUGCAAGUCGAGCGAACGGACGAGAAGCUUGCUUCUCUGAUGUUAGCGGCGGACGGGUGAGUAACACGUGGAUAACCUACCUAUAAGACUGGGAUAACUUCGGGAAACCGGAGCUAAUACCGGAUAAUAUUUUGAACCGCAUGGUUCAAAAGUGAAAGACGGUCUUGCUGUCACUUAUAGAUGGAUCCGCGCUGCAUUAGCUAGUUGGUAAGGUAACGGCUUACCAAGGCAACGAUGCAUAGCCGACCUGAGAGGGUGAUCGGCCACACUGGAACUGAGACACGGUCCAGACUCCUACGGGAGGCAGCAGUAGGGAAUCGUCCGUAAUGGGCGAAAGCCUGACGGAGCAACGCCGCGUGAGUGAUGAAGGUCUUCGGAUCGUAAAACUCUGUUAUUAGGGAAGAACAUAUGUGUAAGUAACUGUGCACAUCUUGACGGUACCUAAUCAGAAAGCCACGGCUAACUACG